UACAGAGGGGGCAAGCGUUAUUCGGAAUUAUUGGGCGUAAAGGGCGCGUAGGCGGCUUUGCAAGUGACGGGUGAAAUCCCUCGGCUUAACCGAGGAGCUGCCUGUCAGACUGCAUGGCUUGAGACCAGGAGAGGUGAGUGGAAUUCCCAGUGUAGCGGUGAAAUGCGUAGAUAUUGGGAGGAACACCAGUGGCGAAGGCGGCUCACUGGACUGGUACUGACGCUGAGACGCGAAAGCGUGGGGGAGCAAACAGG
Molecule: ribosomal RNA, 254 nt
Filed under: uncultured bacterium
Lineage: Bacteria
Description: partial 16S ribosomal RNA
Rfam family: Bacterial small subunit ribosomal RNA
Source: RNAcentral